GACGAACGCUGGCGGCGUGCUUAACACAUGCAAGUCGAACGCUGAAGCUCAGCUUUUGUUGGGUGGAUGAGUGGCGAACGGGUGAGUAACACGUGAGUAACCUGCCCCCUUCUUUGGGAUAACGCCCGGAAACGGGUGCUAAUACUGGAUAUUCACUGGUCUUCGCAUGGGGGUUGGUGGAAAGGGUUUUUCUGGUGGGGGAUGGGCUCGCGGCCUAUCAGCUUGUUGGUGGGGUGAUGGCCUACCAAGGCUUUGACGGGUAGCCGGCCUGAGAGGGUGACCGGUCACAUUGGGACUGAGAUACGGCCCAGACUCCUACGGGAGGCAGCAGUGGGGAAUAUGGCACAAUGGGCGCAAGCCUGAUGCAGCGACGCCGCGUGAGGGAUGAAGGCCUUCGGGUUGUGAACCUCUUUCGCUCAUGGUCAAGCCGCAACAAUGGUUGUGGUGAGGGUAGUGGGUAAAGAAGCGCCGGCUAACUACGUG
This 483-nucleotide ribosomal RNA is filed under the name uncultured bacterium. Its description in RNAcentral is "partial 16S ribosomal RNA". It matches the Rfam family "Bacterial small subunit ribosomal RNA", at positions 28 to 507 of the family's 1533-position model. The record is from RNAcentral.